This 543-nucleotide ribosomal RNA is filed under the name Bifidobacterium pseudocatenulatum. Its description in RNAcentral is "bacterial SSU rRNA". It matches the Rfam family "Bacterial small subunit ribosomal RNA", at positions 158 to 711 of the family's 1533-position model. Lineage: Bacteria; Bacillati; Actinomycetota; Actinomycetes; Bifidobacteriales; Bifidobacteriaceae. The record is from RNAcentral.
GGGUGGUAAUGCCGGAUGCUCCGACUCCUCGCAUGGGGUGUCGGGAAAGAUUUCAUCGGUAUGGGAUGGGGUCGCGUCCUAUCAGGUAGUCGGCGGGGUAACGGCCCACCGAGCCUACGACGGGUAGCCGGCCUGAGAGGGCGACCGGCCACAUUGGGACUGAGAUACGGCCCAGACUCCUACGGGAGGCAGCAGUGGGGAAUAUUGCACAAUGGGCGCAAGCCUGAUGCAGCGACGCCGCGUGCGGGAUGACGGCCUUCGGGUUGUAAACCGCUUUUGAUCGGGAGCAAGCCUUCGGGUGAGUGUACCUUUCGAAUAAGCACCGGCUAACUACGUGCCAGCAGCCGCGGUAAUACGUAGGGUGCAAGCGUUAUCCGGAAUUAUUGGGCGUAAAGGGCUCGUAGGCGGUUCGUCGCGUCCGGUGUGAAAGUCCAUCGCUUAACGGUGGAUCUGCGCCGGGUACGGGCGGGCUGGAGUGCGGUAGGGGAGACUGGAAUUCCCGGUGUAACGGUGGAAUGUGUAGAUAUCGGAAAAAGAACACCA